This 488-nucleotide ribosomal RNA is filed under the name uncultured bacterium. RNAcentral describes it as "bacterial SSU rRNA". It matches the Rfam family "Bacterial small subunit ribosomal RNA", at positions 30 to 507 of the family's 1533-position model. The record is from RNAcentral.
AUUGAACGCUGGCGGCAUGCCUAACACAUGCAAGUCGAACGGAAACGAUGGGAGCUUGCUCCCAGGCGUCGAGUGGCGGACGGGUGAGUAAUGCUUAGGAAUCUGCCCAGUAUGGGGGACAACCAGAAGAAAUUCUGGCUAAUACCGCAUACGCACUACGGUGGAAAGUGGGGGACCUUCGGGGCCUCACGCUAUUGGAUGAGCCUAAGUCGGAUUAGCUUGUUGGUAGGGUAAUGGCCUACCAAGGCGACGAUCCGUAGCUGGUCUGAGAGGACGAUCAGCCACACUGGGACUGAGACACGGCCCAGACUCCUACGGGAGGCAGCAGUGGGGAAUAUUGGACAAUGGGCGCAAGCCUGAUCCAGCAAUGCCGCGUGUGUGAAGAAGGCCUGCGGGUUGUAAAGCACUUUCAGUAGAGAAGAAAAGCCUAGGGUUAAUAACCCUGAGUCUUGACGUAACCUACAGAAGAAGCACCGGCUAACUCCGUG